GGAUAUGAGGUUGAUCUGGCUGUGACCUCUGUCACCCAAUGAUUCAGCUGAUCUGCCUGGAUAGACAGGUGUUCCCUUCCUCACCACACCAUGUUCAUCCCUCCCAAAGCUGCAUAUUCUUUUGAAGAGGAUGACCUUCUCCAAAUAGAGACAGACUCAUCUUUGGUUGAGGGCAUGUGUUUCCCUGCUAGAACCUUCAAACAAGCUCUCAAGGGCCAAUAAAGAACAAGUAAUGUCCUUGAACUAUCCUCUGUGUGAUGGGUACUUUC
RNAcentral lists this small nuclear RNA (269 nucleotides) under Erinaceus europaeus (western European hedgehog). Its description in RNAcentral is "7SK RNA (ENSEEUG00000020324.1)". It matches the Rfam family "7SK RNA". Rfam says of the family: 7SK was discovered as an abundant small nuclear RNA in the mid-70s but a possible function has only recently been suggested. Two independent studies have found that 7SK RNA binds the CDK9/cyclin T complex (known as elongation factor P-TEFb). The record is from Rfam by way of RNAcentral. Lineage: Eukaryota; Metazoa; Chordata; Mammalia; Eulipotyphla; Erinaceidae.